GACGAACGCUGGCGGCGUGCUUAACACAUGCAAGUCGAACGGAAAGGCCCUGCUUUUGUGGGGUGCUCGAGUGGCGAACGGGUGAGUAACACGUGAGUAACCUGCCCUUGACUUUGGGAUAACUUCAGGAAACUGGGGCUAAUACCGGAUAGGAGCUCCUGCUGCAUGGUGGGGGUUGGAAAGUUUCGGCGGUUGGGGAUGGACUCGCGGCUUAUCAGCUUGUUGGUGGGGUAGUGGCUUACCAAGGCUUUGACGGGUAGCCGGCCUGAGAGGGUGACCGGCCACGUUGGGACUGAGAUACGGCCCAGACUCCUACGGGAGGCAGCAGGGGGAAAUAUUGCACAAUGGGCGGAAGCGUGAUACAGCAACGCCGCGUGCGGGAUGACGGCCUUCGGGUUGUAAACCGCUUUCGCCUGUGACGAAGCGUGAGUGACGGUAAUGAGUAAAGAAGCACCGGCUAACUACGUG
This 468-nucleotide ribosomal RNA is filed under the name uncultured bacterium. RNAcentral's name for it is "partial 16S ribosomal RNA". It matches the Rfam family "Bacterial small subunit ribosomal RNA", at positions 28 to 507 of the family's 1533-position model. The record is from RNAcentral.